UUUCCGUAGGUGAACCUGCGGAAGGAUCAUUAACGAGUUAGGGUCUUCCAGGCCCGACCUCCCAACCCUAUGUUUAUUGAACCUCUGUUGCUUCGGCGGACCCGCCUCACGGCCGCCGGAGGACCGCUGCAAGGCGUCCUCUGGCUAGCGUCCGCCGAUGGCAAACCACUUAAACUCUGAAUGAAUCGUGUCAUAUGUCUAAGUCUAUGAUUAAAUUAAAGCAAAACUUUCAACAACGGAUCUCUUGGUUCUG
RNAcentral lists this unclassified non-coding RNA (253 nucleotides) under plant metagenome. RNAcentral's name for it is "partial contains small subunit ribosomal RNA, internal transcribed spacer 1, and 5.8S ribosomal RNA". The record is from RNAcentral.